Molecule: ribosomal RNA, 398 nt
Filed under: uncultured bacterium
Lineage: Bacteria
Description: partial 16S ribosomal RNA
Rfam family: Bacterial small subunit ribosomal RNA
Source: RNAcentral
AUACGUAGGGUGCGAGCGUUGUCCGGAAUUACUGGGCGUAAAGAGCUCGUAGGUGGUUUGUCGCGUCGUCUGUGAAAUUCCGGGGCUUAACUCCGGGCGUGCAGGCGAUACGGGCAUAACUUGAGUACUGUAGGGGAGACUGGAAUUCCUGGUGUAGCGGUGAAAUGCGCAGAUAUCAGGAGGAACACCGGUGGCGAAGGCGGGUCUCUGGGCAGUACCUGACGCUGAGGAGCGAAAGCAUGGGUAGCGAACAGGAUUAGAUACCCUGGUAGUCCAUGCCGUAAACGGUGGGCGCUAGGUGUAGGGGUCUUCCACGACUUCUGUGCCGUAGCUAACGCAUUAAGCGCCCCGCCUGGGGAGUACGGCCGCAAGGCUAAAACUCAAAGGAAUUGACGGGG